Molecule: non-coding RNA, 3508 nt
Organism: Sus scrofa (pig)
Lineage: Eukaryota; Metazoa; Chordata; Mammalia; Artiodactyla; Suidae
Source: RefSeq, a predicted model, not a curated record
CAGCAGGGGGCCAGGGCCAGGAGAUAGAACACCCUCCAGCCUGAGGCUUGGGGACCCUGGCCCGAGAAAGCCAGCAGCAGAGGUCUCCAGCAGCCUGGUGUUCUCCAGUCGCUCUCUUGCAGAAUGCCCACUGAGGCCCCCGGCGCUGCUUUUGUCCUGAGGACAGCAGCGCACCUUCCGCAGCACCUGUGGCCCCUGGACGUCUGUCACCCGAACCCUCGCCAGGUGGGGAACCCGUGAUGUGAGGGCAGCACGAGGUGGCCCCUCGAUGGGUAACAUGGCCCCCAAAUUAGGGCCCCGAGCUGCCCCACUCCCUGCCUGAGCCAGGGCUUGGGGGAGGCUGGGCCCAGCUGGUGGCUGCAGGAUGCUGUGGUGGGGCCAGCCGGGUGUCCCCUACAUGGAGGACAAGCUCAGCAGGCUGGCAACCCCACCCGGCCUGCCCUCCUGCCCCACCACUGCUCAGCACACACCCCCUCCCCAAGGACUUUCUGUCUCAUUCCUGACACCCCCGCACAGGGUGGAGAGGCUGGCACCCGGCAGCUCAGUCACCCCAGAGGAGACCUCAGAACCUCGGCUGUGUCCCUGGGUCCCAUGGGGCUGCGAGCAGCUGCCUCACAGGCCAGAUUUCAGGCGUGUGCUUGUGGGCGUGCCUGUGCACACACCCCCACCCACGCGUAAGCCCCCACUGGGCUCUCCCACCCCAACCGCACACAGGCCCUUGGCCCCGGCAUGUACUCGGCGGAGGGUGCCGAGCAGGCCUGGCUGCCGCAGCCCCCUGAAGCCAAAGCGCCCUCAAGGAUGUGCCGUUGCCAUGGUGACCCGUGGGCACUCAGCAGGCGCCCCUCCCGCCAGCCACCUCCCCAAGCAAGUGCUCCCCCAACUCCGUCUCCUGGCCAGUCCCGAAGCUGAAAGAAGGCCAGUCCUCGGGGCUGCACGGGCUGUUUGGGGGCAGGAAACCUCAGGAGGCCCAGCCUCAGCCCCCACCCUGGUCCCGGGGUGUGGCCGUCCCUGGGUCCCCUCCAGGUCCCCCGGCAGGUCCCGGUCAAUCAGCAUCACGUGCUCCUCUCAGCAGCAGAGGAAGCGGGGCACUGAGUGGGCCUCCCCCACCCCCGACGCCCAUGAGGGUGGCUCUGUGGGGGUGGGGAGAUGACCAGACAGGUGGGUGGAGCCAGAAAGGGCCUCCCAGAGGCUGCAGACCUGACGUUUCAAACCUCCAAACCCCUCCCAUUUCUGGAGCCUCCCCAAGGCUGCAAGUCGAAACCACAGCAGUGCCCCUGAGACUGGAGCAGGUGACAGGACUGUCACCGCAGGAGCUUUGCAGGUCCUGCACCCCGGCCACCCCCAGAGCUGCUGCAGCUCUUCUUGUUUUGUGACCACCUCAGCGAGAGGAGUGACCGCCCAGGACACUCUCUGGGUCGAGGCCCAGGGGACACCCAGAGCCCCACGGAGCCCGUAAGCAACAUGCUGGAGCCGGAACACAGUUGGGGAGCAGCAAGGCAGAGGGGUCCCUGGGGGUGGCGGUGCCCCAGGUUGUCCUCAGCACCACCCCGCUGCCCAUUGCUCCCACGCCUCCACACAGGGUGGACCUCAGGCUGUGUGCCAAGGCCAGCUGGCCAGGGGUGCCUGACGCCACGUGCCCAGUUUGGCAGGGCCCCCCCUCCCCCGCUCCAGGACUGAGCAAGGCCAGGCCCGGCCACAUGCCACCAGCCACCUCACCUCGCGCACCCGGACAGGUGAGCCCCAGGUUGCCCCAGCCUGCCCACUGCACGGGCCCCAGCCACCCCGUCCGCCCGUCCGUCCCCUGGCAGCGCACAGGUGAGCACAGGUAGGCCGGAAACGCGUCUAUUGCCACAUCUAUCCCUGCUCCGUCCACUCAGAGGCCCGGCAGCAGUGACCCCCGAAACCAUGCCCGCGGUGCCAGGCCGCUUCCAGAACACUCCCAGGCCCGCUCCAGCACAGCGUCGCGUGUGCCCGGAAGACAAGGUCGCAGACGGCUCUGCUGUUUGUUUCAGAAACUCACUGGAAAACCCACUUAGACAAACCUCACGCCACGCAGCUCUUCAUCACGGAGCGCCCAGCCACAGCUCUGCCCCCCGGCCUCGCCACCCACCUUCGCGUGACUAUGGGGCCGAAGCGAGCCCAGCACGGAGGCCCCCUUCCAACCAGACCCUGAGCCCAGACACAUCCGCCUGGCCCUCGGCCUGGGGUUCGCCCACACCGGCCCUCGGGAGGGCAGGCCGGCUGGGUCUGGGCUCCAGGGAGCCCACUGAGCUGUAACCAGGGCGUCACAAGCGCCGCUCGGCAGUGAUGCACCGGUUGGUGGGUCCGCGCUGCCCACCAGGUGGCGCUCUCUGGCCGGCUCCUGUGCGAGGGCUCAGCCGGGAGAGCCUUCGCGAACACACCCGCAGUCCUGUGACUCGGGGCAGGGACCCAGAAGACCCCUCACCAUCAGGCCGAGACCGCCCGACGCCAGCUUUGAGGACUAAGACGCCCCCGAGCAAAGAAGGAGGCACGUCCGCCCUGUGCUGAUUCCUGUGUGAAAACUGCCUUCUCCCUUUCCCGUCAGACUCGCUGUAACUCUUCCCAGUGCAGGCACGGUCUUGGAGGCAUUAGCUUGCUGAGGCCUCCUCUGCCCGGCAAAGCCGUAAGAGCCAGCUUUUUCUGCCUCCAUAACUCGGGCUCCUGGUCUCUAUUCGGUACCAGUGGACAGAGGCCAAAUUCUGGCAACACACCCACCGCACAAAGCACAGGGGCCGCCUUGGAAGGUCCUGGCAGGGGCAGCGGCUCCCAAGGCAGCGCAGGGUCAAGGUCGCUCCAGGAAGGAGGGUGCCAGGGACAGAGGGGAGGGAGGCUGCUAAGAGAAGAGAGAUGCCCCCCUCCACCAAGGAGCCCCCUUGCAGGGCCACUCGCUGCUGAGACCUGGGCCUGCGGUCCUGCCCACAGGAGAGGGGCAACCUCGUGCCAGUAUCAGGGGACUCCUGGUCGUGGUGGGAAGAGACCGCCUGCUCACCCUCCUCCCCAGGCUGGGCAGGGCAGGCGGCAGGGGGGCGCACCAGGCCGCCUGGGCUGGAAGCUCUGCCCCUCACCAGCUGUGGGACUCCGAGCCUCAGCUUCCCAUUUGAAAAUGGGGACACCUCACCCCGAGCAUGCAAGAGGGGAACAGCACCCCGAGACGUCAGCCAGGCCUGGCAUACACCUCAGGUCCCCCACCGGGCCCCACCCCUGCCCUCCCCCACUUCAGCCCAGCCCUGGGCAGGGGGGAGGGUGGGCUGAGAGGCGCCCCAGGCCUCCCACCGGCUGAGCUGAUGGCGGGAGCGGGGGGCGGGGGAGGUACCAGAACAGGGUAGAGGCUGGUCCCCCCACGAGGCCACAGGGUGGCCACUCGCCACCGGCUCCACCCAGAGGAGCAGACACCACGACCAUUUCCCGAGUGACUUGGGAGUGGCCGAGGGGGGCCCUGCAGCCCGAGCCCAUGGCUGUAUCCUGUCAGUGAGCCCCCCGCUCCUGC